RNAcentral lists this long non-coding RNA (355 nucleotides) under Arabidopsis lyrata. RNAcentral describes it as "long non-coding RNA (ALYR_LNC002529)". The record is from RNAcentral. Lineage: Eukaryota; Viridiplantae; Streptophyta; Magnoliopsida; Brassicales; Brassicaceae.
GGCUCAUUGGUUGACCAAGGGUUGAUUAAUGCUUCUACACCAAAAGGUCUGGGGUUCGAGUCCCAGGUAUUGCGAUUUAUUAAAAAAUUUGCAGAUUAAUGGAGGCAAGUGUGCAAGAGAUCUCCAGCGAUGUACAAUUAUAGCCGUUCGCCAGGAUUCUACGCAUAGAAGGAAGUGUCGCCAGGUCGUGGAUCAUUGAAGGUAUUCAUCAAGAUUACGAAGAAGGAAGUGUAGUCUGUCGUGAAUCUAGUAAGGGUCGGAAGGAAUUGUCAGUUGUAGAAUCGUCUAUGUAACAGUUCUCAUAAUUUGCAAUUAAUAAUAAAUCUAGACGACAAAAACAAAAAAAAUCAACUUU